UACGUAGGGUGCAAGCGUUGUCCGGAAUUAUUGGGCGUAAAGAGGCUCGUAGGCGGUUUGUCGCGUCUGGCUGUGAAAACGCGAGGCUCAACCUCGCGCCUGCAGUGGGUACGGGCAGACUGGAGUGCGGUAGGGGAGAUUGGAAUUCCUGGUGUAGCGGUGGAAUGCGCAGAUAUCAGGAGGAACACCGAUGGCGAAGGCAGAUCUCCUGGGCCGUAACUGACGCUGAGGAGCGGAAAGCAUGGGGAGCGAACAGG
This 257-nucleotide ribosomal RNA is filed under the name uncultured bacterium. RNAcentral's name for it is "partial 16S ribosomal RNA". It matches the Rfam family "Bacterial small subunit ribosomal RNA", at positions 524 to 776 of the family's 1533-position model. The record is from RNAcentral.